RNAcentral lists this unclassified non-coding RNA (200 nucleotides) under Dactylella sp. RNAcentral's name for it is "partial internal transcribed spacer 2". Lineage: Eukaryota; Fungi; Ascomycota; Orbiliomycetes; Orbiliales; Orbiliaceae. The record is from RNAcentral.
UUAAGUUCAGCGGGUAUCCUUGUCUGAUCUGAGGUCAAACCUUAGAAAUAGUAGGUUUUGUUCAGGCCGGUUAAACCUGCAAGCCUCACCUUCAAACAAGCAAAAGUUUACUAUGUUUUUGGUUGGGCGUAGCAGCCAGCAGAGCUUACAACUUUAAAACCGGUCAGCUUUUUACGGCCAACCGGCUCAAAACCAGCUUG